This 391-nucleotide long non-coding RNA is filed under the name Gossypium raimondii (Peruvian cotton). RNAcentral describes it as "long non-coding RNA (GRAI_LNC004850)". The record is from RNAcentral. Lineage: Eukaryota; Viridiplantae; Streptophyta; Magnoliopsida; Malvales; Malvaceae.
CUUGCAUUAAAAAAAAAGUAAUAAAUAAGGUAUUAAGAUUAAAACAUGAAAAAAAAGAACAAAUAAAAUCUCAAACACAUUUUCUAAAAGAUAUAUCAUAUUCAUAAAAUCAUCACAUUUUUACUUGAAAAAAAAAAUAUUCUUCAACCAAUAUACAAACAAAGUUAAAUAAAAACAUAAUAUUUUUUCUUCUCCUCCUUUCUUUUCUCUUUCUCCACUGCUUCUGCUCCCUUGUGCCACUCUCCCCUCAAUUCUCUCUCUCAAGGAUGACCAUGGCAGCAUGGUGAGGGCCACGCCCCACCAAUCACCUUUUUCCUUUUUUUACUUUUCCUAUUCUGUUUUUUUAAUUCAUUUUAUAUUUUUAUUUUUAUUUUUAUUAUUACAAAAUAAA